Molecule: non-coding RNA, 126 nt
Organism: Triticum aestivum (bread wheat)
Lineage: Eukaryota; Viridiplantae; Streptophyta; Magnoliopsida; Poales; Poaceae
Source: Rfam
UUUGUACUCCCUUCGUCUGAAAAAACUUGUCCCAAGCUUGUCCAUCUAAUGGAUGUAUCUAGCACUAACUUGGUACUAGAUAUAUCCAUUUGAGGGACAAGUUUUUCCGGACGGAGGGGGUACACC